GAUGAACGCUGGCGGCGUGCCUAAUACAUGCAAGUCGAGCGAACAGACGAGGAGCUUGCUCCUCUGACGUUAGCGGCGGACGGGUGAGUAACACGUGGAUAACCUACCUAUAAGACUGGGAUAACUUCGGGAAACCGGAGCUAAUACCGGAUAAUAUAUUGAACCGCAUGGUUCAAUAGUGAAAGACGGUUUUGCUGUCACUUAUAGAUGGAUCCGCGCCGCAUUGGCUGGUUGGUAAGGUAACGGCUUACCAAGGCAACGUUGCGUAGCCGACCUGAGAGGGGGUAGGGCCCCAGGGAAGGUGAGCGACGUCCAGGACACUGAGGGAGGGCGCAGGUGGGAAAGCUACGCAACGGGGGGAAAUCUUGACGAAGGAGCGCGAGGUGGGUGAUGAAGGGCUGCGAUCGGUAAAACGCUGUAUUAGGGAAGAACAAAUGUGUAAGUAACUAUGCACGUCUUGACGGUACCUAAUCAGAAAGCCACGGCUAACUACGUG
This 496-nucleotide ribosomal RNA is filed under the name uncultured bacterium. RNAcentral's name for it is "partial 16S ribosomal RNA". It matches the Rfam family "Bacterial small subunit ribosomal RNA", at positions 28 to 507 of the family's 1533-position model. The record is from RNAcentral.